AGAGUUUGAUCCUGGCUCAGAACGAACGUUAGCGGCGCGCCUAACACAUGCAAGUCGCACGAGAAGGGGCUUCGGCCCUGGUAAAGUGGCGCACGGGUGAGUAACACGUGGGUAAUGUUCCCUCGGGCGGGGGAUAACCUUCCGAAAGGAGGGCUAAUACCGCAUAAGACCACGGUCUCGGAGACGAGACUGCGGUAAAA
This 200-nucleotide ribosomal RNA is filed under the name uncultured bacterium. RNAcentral describes it as "partial 16S ribosomal RNA". It matches the Rfam family "Bacterial small subunit ribosomal RNA", at positions 8 to 205 of the family's 1533-position model. The record is from RNAcentral.